RNAcentral lists this ribosomal RNA (253 nucleotides) under uncultured Clostridium sp. RNAcentral's name for it is "partial 16S ribosomal RNA". It matches the Rfam family "Bacterial small subunit ribosomal RNA", at positions 524 to 776 of the family's 1533-position model. The record is from RNAcentral. Lineage: Bacteria; Bacillati; Bacillota; Clostridia; Eubacteriales; Clostridiaceae.
UACGUAGGUGGCAAGCGUUGUCCGGAAUUAUUGGGCGUAAAGGAUGCGUAGGCGGAUAUGUAAGUCAGAUGUGAAAUACCCGGGCUCAACUUGGGUACUGCAUUUGAAACUGCAUGUCUAGAGUGCGGGAGAGGAAAGUGGAAUUCCUAGUGUAGCGGUGAAAUGCGUAGAGAUUAGGAAGAACACCAGUGGCGAAGGCGACUUUCUGGACCGUAACUGACGCUGAGGCAUGAAAGCGUGGGUAGCAAACAGG